Long non-coding RNA from Bubalus bubalis (water buffalo), 1161 nucleotides. RefSeq lists it as uncharacterized. Lineage: Eukaryota; Metazoa; Chordata; Mammalia; Artiodactyla; Bovidae. The record is from RefSeq and is a predicted model, not a curated record. The transcript is spliced from 2 exons.
GUCACAUCGUUUUCUAUGACUAUAUUUUGCUUCAUGAACUGUUUCUUUCUCUUGAUGUAAAUUGUUGCCUCCUAUUUUUAUUCCCUUGGUUUUUGUACCAGUUAUAUUAUAGCUAACUCUCCUCUGAACAGGGUCACGAAUAUUCACUAGUCAAUCAGUCGUAUUAUUCUUAGAGACAGCAGUCCUGGGGAUCUCUGCUCUCUCUAAUCUCAUUUCUCUCUCUGCCAGCUGACGCUGUUAUCUUGGCAUUUCUGUCACAGUUAUUCUAGGAAUUGCUUUUACUCAGUACUCUCCCCCUGUGCCGUGUCCCUCAGCCCCUGGAUUUCAUAUCUCCCUCAUUCUCUGUUACUACUUCUUUUCGCUGUGGACACAUUCCCUAGCAGCCUUCUGAAAGGGCAGGUAUGGGAGGCAAGGCUUUACUGGGCCCCUGCUGCAGUAGAGAACGAAAGCAAACAACAGGUCCCCUUGCUUGAUCCCUGGCCAGGCAACGGGGGAACUUGUUCCCUGUAAGGGAUGAGGGUAGAGCUGUGCCCAGGCUUCUGAAUGGGUAACUUGACUGCAGAUGGGACAAGAAACUGUAUUCAUCCUGUCAACCUGUGAAUAUAAAACCUGACGGCGCAGUUACCUGGAAGCCGCACAGUGGACGGGGUUUUGAACCUAGAUACAUCACCCUGCAGGUGGUGGGUGUGCUGGGAGCAUCCUAGCUGACGGACCAGCUCAGGCAGCCCGUGGUUAGAGACGGUGAUUCCCGCGCGCUUCGUGUCCUGCACCCCAGUUUCCGCAGGCUGGAUGCUGCGGGUGUGAUGGGAGGCCGGGCCGCGAUGGUGGGACUUGGUGGAAAUGCGGCCACGACGAUGUGACUUUGUGGAAAUGCAGAAAGCACAUGCGUUUUCAGACUAAACUGAAUUGUUUCCUAAAAACAAAUCCCCAGUCUAUGCAGGUCACUCUCCUACCUAGGAGCUAGGAGAAUUAGCACUCCAAAAUAUUUGCGGUUAUUGAAGAGAAUGAAUGAAAUAGGACGUAGGUUGGUAAAUUUGGGGGAGAGGAGAAGCAGAAGAGAGGCAGCACAGAACCUCACAGUAGACAAUGCCUGGGUGAUAAGUCUCUCCUCUCCUCCCCUGCCUCGAGUUACUUGAGCAAUAAAAUAAUUGAUUACUCACA